UGGGUGAGUAACACGUGGGGAACCGUAGCCCUAACGUCUGGGAGUACCAUUUGGUAACAAGGUGCUAAUACCGGAGUAAUAAAGCAGAUCGCAUGAUCAGCUUUUGAAAGGCGGCGUAAGCUGUCGCUAAGGGAUGGCCCCCGCGGUGCAUUAGCUAGUUGGUAAGGUAACGGCUUACCAAGGCGACGAUGCAUAGCCGAGUUGAGAGACUGAUCGGCCACAUUGGGACUGAGACACGGCCCAAACUCCUACGGGAGGCAGCAGUAGGGAAUCUUCCACAAUGGACGCAAGUCUGAUGGAGCAACGCCGCGUGAGUGAAGAAGGUUUUCGGAUCGUAAAGCUCUGUUGUUGGUGAAGAAGGAUGUGAGUAGCAACUGGCUCAUAUUUGACGGUAAUCAACCAGAAAGUCACGGCUAACUACGUG
This 424-nucleotide ribosomal RNA is filed under the name uncultured bacterium. RNAcentral's name for it is "bacterial SSU rRNA". It matches the Rfam family "Bacterial small subunit ribosomal RNA", at positions 103 to 507 of the family's 1533-position model. The record is from RNAcentral.